Molecule: transfer RNA, 72 nt
Organism: Camelus ferus (Wild Bactrian camel)
Lineage: Eukaryota; Metazoa; Chordata; Mammalia; Artiodactyla; Camelidae
Rfam family: tRNA
About the family: Transfer RNA (tRNA) molecules are approximately 80 nucleotides in length.
Source: Rfam
GGGUAUAUAGCUCAGAGGUAGAGUGCGUGCCUAGCAUGCACAAGGUCCUGGGUUCAGUCCCCAGUACCGCCG